Molecule: ribosomal RNA, 468 nt
Filed under: uncultured bacterium
Lineage: Bacteria
Description: partial 16S ribosomal RNA
Rfam family: Bacterial small subunit ribosomal RNA
Source: RNAcentral
GACGAACGCUGGCGGCGUGCUUAACACAUGCAAGUCGAACGGAAAGGCCCUGCUUUUGUGGGGUGCUCGAGUGGCGAACGGGUGAGUAACACGUGAGUAACCUGCCCUUGACUUUGGGAUAACUUCAGGAAACUGGGGCUAAUACCGGAUAGGAGCUCCUGCUGCAUGGUGGGGGUUGGAAAGUUUCGGCGGUUGGGGAUGGACUCGCGGCUUAUCAGCUUGUUGGUGGGGUAGUGGCUUACCAAGGCUUUGACGGGUAGCCGGCCUGAGAGGGUGACCGGCAACAUUGGGAAUGAGAUACGGCGCAGACUGCAACGGGAGGCAGAAGUGGGGAAGAUUGCACAAUGGGCGGAAGCCUGAUGCAGAAACGCCGCGUGCGGGAUGACGGCCUUCGGGUUGUAAACCGCUUUAGCCUGUGAAGAAGAGUGAGUGAAGGUAAUGGGUAAAGAAGCACCGGCUAACUACGUG